This 497-nucleotide ribosomal RNA is filed under the name uncultured bacterium. Its description in RNAcentral is "partial 16S ribosomal RNA". It matches the Rfam family "Bacterial small subunit ribosomal RNA", at positions 28 to 507 of the family's 1533-position model. The record is from RNAcentral.
GAUGAACGCUGGCGGCGUGCCUAAUACAUGCAAGUCGAGCGAACAGACGAGGAGCUUGCUCCUCUGACGUUAGCGGCGGACGGGUGAGUAACACGUGGAUAACCUACCUAUAAGACUGGGAUAACUUCGGGAAACCGGAGCUAAUACCGGAUAACAUGUUGAACCGCAUGGUUCAACAGUGAAAGACGGUCUUGCUGUCACUUAUAGAUGGAUCCGCGCCGCAUUAGCUAGUUGGUAAGGUAACGGCUUACCAAGGCAACGAUGCGUAGCCGACCUGAGAGGGUGAUCGGCCACACUGGAAAUGAGACACGGUCCAGACUCCUACGGGAGGCAGCAGUAGGGAAUCUUCCGCAAUGGGCGAAAGCCUGACGGAGCAACGCCGCGUGAGUGAAGAAGGUCUUCGGAUCGUAAAACUCUGUUAUUAGGGAAGAACAAAUGUGUAAGUAACUAUGCACGUCUUGACGGUACCUAAUCAGAAAGCCACGGCUAACUACGUG